CGCUGGCGGCGUGCUUAACACAUGCAAGUCGAACGAUGAAGCCCUUCGGGGUGGAUUAGUGGCGAACGGGUGAGUAACACGUGGGCAAUCUGCCCUUCACUCUGGGACAAGCCCUGGAAACGGGGUCUAAUACCGGAUACCACUCCUGCCUGCAUGGGCGGGGGUUGAAAGCUCCGGCGGUGAAGGAUGAGCCCGCGGCCUAUCAGCUUGUUGGUGGGGUAAUGGCCCACCAAGGCGACGACGGGUAGCCGGCCUGAGAGGGCGACCGGCCACACUGGGACUGAGACACGGCCCAGACUCCUACGGGAGGCAGCAGUGGGAAUAUUGCACAAUGGGCGAAAGCCUGAUGCAGCGACGCCGCGUGAGGGAUGACGGCCUUCGGGUUGUAAACCUCUUUCAGCAGGGAAGAAGCGAAAGUGACGGUACCUGCAGAAGAAGCGCCGGCU
This 446-nucleotide ribosomal RNA is filed under the name uncultured bacterium. RNAcentral's name for it is "bacterial SSU rRNA". It matches the Rfam family "Bacterial small subunit ribosomal RNA", at positions 34 to 498 of the family's 1533-position model. The record is from RNAcentral.